Molecule: ribosomal RNA, 631 nt
Filed under: Zonosaurus bemaraha
Lineage: Eukaryota; Metazoa; Chordata; Lepidosauria; Squamata; Gerrhosauridae
Description: partial 12S ribosomal RNA
Rfam family: Bacterial small subunit ribosomal RNA (bases 1-485)
Source: RNAcentral
CACACUCACUAUUCGCCAGAAUACUACAAGCAAAACGCUUAAAACUCAAAGGACUNGGUGGUGCCCCAUACCAUCCUAGAGGAGCCUGUCCUAUAAUCGAUACUCCACGUUACACCUCACCAUCUUUGGUCACUCCAGCCUAUAUACCGCCGUCGCCAGCCUACCCCAUGAGGGUUUAACAGUAGGCGAAAAUGCCUAACGCAAAAACGUCAGGUCAAGGUGUAGCUUAUAAGAUGGAAGAGAUGGGCUACAUUUUCUAAAUUAGAAAAUACGAACAGUGCUAUGAAACCAAGCACUAUGAAGGAGGAUUUAGCAGUAAAAUAAUAAAGAAAAACUAUUUUAAACAAGCUCUGGGACGCGCACACACCGCCCGUCACCCUCAUCAAUCAACCAUCACCUAUAACAUAUAACUUCAACCAACUACAAGAUGAGGUAAGUCGUAACAUGGUAAGCGCACUGGAAAGUGCGCUUGGAUUACAAAAAGUAGCUUAAAACUAAAGCAUUCAGCUUACAAUUGAAAAAUGUUAUUAUCUAACCUUUUUGAGCCAAAACAUUAAGCCCAACCCCCCUCCUUCCACCUAAUAAUUUCAAAAAACAAAUCAUUUGACCCGAACAGUAUUGGAGAAAGAAC